RNAcentral lists this ribosomal RNA (889 nucleotides) under Escherichia coli. RNAcentral's name for it is "partial 23S ribosomal RNA". It matches the Rfam family "Bacterial large subunit ribosomal RNA", at positions 344 to 1236 of the family's 2925-position model. The record is from RNAcentral. Lineage: Bacteria; Pseudomonadati; Pseudomonadota; Gammaproteobacteria; Enterobacterales; Enterobacteriaceae.
GGAAAGGCGCGCGAUACAGGGUGACAGCCCCGUACACAAAAAUGCACAUGCUGUGAGCUCGAUGAGUAGGGCGGGACACGUGGUAUCCUGUCUGAAUAUGGGGGGACCAUCCUCCAAGGCUAAAUACUCCUGACUGACCGAUAGUGAACCAGUACCGUGAGGGAAAGGCGAAAAGAACCCCGGCGAGGGGAGUGAAAAAGAACCUGAAACCGUGUACGUACAAGCAGUGGGAGCACGCUUAGGCGUGUGACUGCGUACCUUUUGUAUAAUGGGUCAGCGACUUAUAUUCUGUAGCAAGGUUAACCGAAUAGGGGAGCCGAAGGGAAACCGAGUCUUAACUGGGCGUUAAGUUGCAGGGUAUAGACCCGAAACCCGGUGAUCUAGCCAUGGGCAGGUUGAAGGUUGGGUAACACUAACUGGAGGACCGAACCGACUAAUGUUGAAAAAUUAGCGGAUGACUUGUGGCUGGGGGUGAAAGGCCAAUCAAACCGGGAGAUAGCUGGUUCUCCCCGAAAGCUAUUUAGGUAGCGCCUCGUGAAUUCAUCUCCGGGGGUAGAGCACUGUUUCGGCAAGGGGGUCAUCCCGACUUACCAACCCGAUGCAAACUGCGAAUACCGGAGAAUGUUAUCACGGGAGACACACGGCGGGUGCUAACGUCCGUCGUGAAGAGGGAAACAACCCAGACCGCCAGCUAAGGUCCCAAAGUCAUGGUUAAGUGGGAAACGAUGUGGGAAGGCCCAGACAGCCAGGAUGUUGGCUUAGAAGCAGCCAUCAUUUAAAGAAAGCGUAAUAGCUCACUGGUCGAGUCGGCCUGCGCGGAAGAUGUAACGGGGCUAAACCAUGCACCGAAGCUGCGGCAGCGACGCUGAUGCGUUGUUGGGUAGGGGAG